AUUGAACGCUGGCGGUAUGCUUAACACAUGCAAGUCGAACGGUAACAGGCCUUCGGGCGCUGACGAGUGGCGGACGGGUGAGUAACGCGUAGGAAUCUGCCUUAUAGUGGGGGACAACGUGGGGAAACCCACGCUAAUACCGCAUACGCCCUACGGGGGAAAGCGGGGGAUCGUAAGACCUCGCGCUAUGAGAUGAGCCUGCGUUAGAUUAGCUAGUUGGUAGGGUAAUGGCCUACCAAGGCUGUGAUGGGUAGCCGGCCUGAGAGGGUGAACGGCCACACUGGAACUGAGACACGGUCCAGACUCCUACGGGAGGCAG
Molecule: ribosomal RNA, 319 nt
Filed under: uncultured Pseudomonadota bacterium
Lineage: Bacteria; Pseudomonadati; Pseudomonadota
Description: bacterial SSU rRNA
Rfam family: Bacterial small subunit ribosomal RNA
Source: RNAcentral